RNAcentral lists this ribosomal RNA (458 nucleotides) under uncultured bacterium. RNAcentral describes it as "partial 16S ribosomal RNA". It matches the Rfam family "Bacterial small subunit ribosomal RNA", at positions 29 to 507 of the family's 1533-position model. The record is from RNAcentral.
AGCGAACGCUGGCGGCAGGCCUAACACAUGCAAGUCGAACGAACUCUUCGGAGUUAGUGGCGGACGGGUGAGUAACACGUGGGAACGUGCCUUUUGGUUCGGAAUAACUCAGGGAAACUUGUGCUAAUACCGAAUGUGCCCUUCGGGGGAAAGAUUUAUCGCCAUUAGAGCGGCCCGCGUCUGAUUAGCUAGUUGGUGAGGUAACGGCUCACCAAGGCGACGAUCAGUAGCUGGUCUGAGAGGAUGACCAGCCACACUGGGACUGAGACACGGCCCGAACUCCGGCGGGAGGCAGGAGGCGGGAAGCUUGCGCAAUGGGCGAAAGCCUGACGGAGCAACGCCGCGUGAGUGAUGAAGGUCCUCGGACCGGAGAACUCUGUUAUUAGGGGCGAACAAGUGGGUCCGUAAAUAUGCACGUCUGGACGGUGCCUAAUCAGAAAGCCACGGCUAACUACGUG